Molecule: ribosomal RNA, 434 nt
Filed under: uncultured Clostridium sp.
Lineage: Bacteria; Bacillati; Bacillota; Clostridia; Eubacteriales; Clostridiaceae
Also listed under: 1 other name
Description: partial 16S ribosomal RNA
Rfam family: Bacterial small subunit ribosomal RNA
Source: RNAcentral
ACGGAAGGCAGCAGUGGGGAAUAUUGCACAAUGGGCGAAAGCCUGAUGCAGCGACGCCGCGUGAGUGAAGAAGUAUCUCGGUAUGUAAAGCUCUAUCAGCAGGGAAGAAAAUGACGGUACCUGACUAAGAAGCCCCGGCUAACUACGUGCCAGCAGCCGCGGUAAUACGUAGGGGGCAAGCGUUAUCCGGAUUUACUGGGUGUAAAGGGAGCGUAGACGGUUUGGCAAGUCUGAAGUGAAAUGCGGGGGCUCAACUCCUGAACUGCUUUGGAAACUGUCGAACUAGAGUGCAGGAGAGGUAAGUGGAAUUCCUAGUGUAGCGGUGAAAUGCAUAGAUAUUAGGAGGAACACCAGUGGCGAAGGCGGCUUACUGGACUGUAACUGACGUUGAGGCUCGAAAGCGUGGGGAGCAAACAGGAUUAGAUACCCUGGUA